GAUGAACGCUGGCGGCGUGCCUAACACAUGCAAGUCGAGCGAACAGACAAGGAGUUUGCUCUUCUGCCGUUAGCGACUGACGGGUGAGUAACACGUGGAUAACCACCCUAUAAGACUGUGAUAACUUCGAGGAGCUGGAGCCAAUACCGCAUAAUAUAUUCAACCGCAUAGUUCAAUAGAGCAUGACGGUUUUGCUGACACUAAUAGAUUGAGCCGUGCCGGAUUAGCUAGUUGGUAAGGUAACGGCUUACCAACGCAACGAUGCGUAGCCGACAUGAGAGGAAGAUCGGCCACACUGGAACUGAGACACGGUCCAGACUCCUACGGGAGGCAGCAGUAGGGAAUCUUACGCGAUGGGCGAAAGCCUGACGGAGCAACACCGAGUGAGUGAUGAAGGUCUUCGGCUGGUAAAGUUCUGUUAUUAGGCAAGAAGAAAUGCGUAAGUAAAUAUGAACGUAUUGACGGUACCUAAUGAGAAAGCCACGGCUAACUACGUG
RNAcentral lists this ribosomal RNA (497 nucleotides) under uncultured bacterium. Its description in RNAcentral is "partial 16S ribosomal RNA". It matches the Rfam family "Bacterial small subunit ribosomal RNA", at positions 28 to 507 of the family's 1533-position model. The record is from RNAcentral.